RNAcentral lists this ribosomal RNA (363 nucleotides) under uncultured eukaryote. RNAcentral describes it as "partial 18S ribosomal RNA". It matches the Rfam family "Eukaryotic small subunit ribosomal RNA", at positions 592 to 976 of the family's 1831-position model. The record is from RNAcentral.
CAAUAGCGUAUACUAAUGUUGUUGCAGUUAAAAAGCUCGUAGUUGAACUUCUGGUAGGAGUGUCCCGGCCUUUUUGUUUUUACAAAUUGUAUGCUGUGUGACAUCUCUGGCCAUCCUUCUUCUUUGUUUAAAGAAGAUCUUUCACUGUAAAAAAAUUAGGGUGUUCAAGGCAAAAGUUUCUUUGGAAUAUAUUAGUAUGGGAUGAUAAGAUAGGCUCUAGAUGCUAUUUUGUUGGUUUGCACAUUUAGAGAAUGAUUAACAGGGACAGUUGGGGGUAUUCGUAUUUACAUGUCAGAGGUGAAAUUCUUGGAUUUUGGAAAGACGAACUACUGCGAAAGCAUUUACCAAGGAUGUUUUCAUUAA